This is a long non-coding RNA of Cucumis melo (muskmelon), 439 nucleotides long. RefSeq lists it as uncharacterized. The transcript is spliced from 4 exons. NCBI's taxonomy places the organism in Eukaryota, Viridiplantae, Streptophyta, Magnoliopsida, Cucurbitales, Cucurbitaceae. The record is from RefSeq and is a predicted model, not a curated record.
UUAAGACCAUGCUGUUUGGCUUCAAUGCUACAUGUUAUUUUGACAUGUUAUGGAUAAUAUUGGAAUCUAUUUCAAUACAUUAGGACUGGGUGGUGUUUCGUCAAGCUGGUUUAGAGUGUGGAUUUCAGGGAAGAACAAAUAAGUUGGUUGAUGGAUGCUAUUCGUUUUGGCAGGGAGGCGUUUGCUCACUAUUAAAAAGAUUAAGUUUGGAUAUUGAUGAACAAUCAGUUCAACCUUAUGCUUGAGAAGGCUCUUCUUUUGAUGAUCUAUCAACUGAGGCUUAAGAAUGUUUUAUGCUGAAAUAAACACAAGAGCUCGACCUCUUACUUGGGUUUCUGUUAAGUGUGCUCAACAGCCGGGCAGUGCAGAAUGUGGGUAUUACGUGAUGAAGUUCAUGCAAGACAUAGUAAGGCAAAAGAGCAUUACAAUUACAGAUGUG